Long non-coding RNA from Pipra filicauda (Wire-tailed manakin), 1249 nucleotides. RefSeq lists it as uncharacterized. The record is from RefSeq and is a predicted model, not a curated record. NCBI's taxonomy places the organism in Eukaryota, Metazoa, Chordata, Aves, Passeriformes, Pipridae. The transcript is spliced from 4 exons.
AAUACUAGCCCAAUUGUCAACAACAGAGAGCAGAGAAAAUCUCAGAGCAUGUCUUUUUCUUUUCUUCCUUUUUUUUUCUUUUUUUAGUGCAAGGUGGAGGUGAGGUGAAGGACUGCUGGUAUAUUUUUAUAUUGCCUUCUUGACUACCCUUCUGAUGCUCAGGAACAACCUGUCUUCUGUGUAUUAGCUGUGAAAGCUCAGAAGAACUUCCUAGACAGGAACAUGUGAGGACGCAGUCUUUUGUGAGCCAGUCAAGUGGAGACAGUUAUGGGAAAAUGCAGGACAUCAGGAUGCAGUUGCACAAAUGCUGUAAGCUGGACGUCACUGAAAGAAGAGUGUGGUUUCUGUUUGGUUAACGGCGUGUGAAUGAACAAAGACUUCAGCCACUGGAGAUGAGAUGGCAAAAUAGAAACAAGGAUACACAGCAAUUGGUAGAGAAAGAGUGAACCAAUGUGUCAGUGGCAUGGGUGUACAGAGGUUGAGAAGAUGCAAACAGAUGCCUUGGUUGAGCCCAUCUAUCAGAUUCUAUACUCAGUUGAAAAUUAUGUCUAAGUGGGAGUCAAAUGCUGACACCAGAAAGCAGACAAUUGCAUCUUGGUGGUAUUCUACAUUUAUGAGUCUCUCUUGUGCCUGGCCAAAGCACGUCUGGAAAAGGAAAGAACUUGUAAGAGAUUCUGCCUGCAAAGCUCCACAUGGAACGGAGCUGAUACGAAUCAAGCUUGCUUUUUUAGUACAUCUAUCUGCAAAUAGCUACAGUGUAGUACAAACAGACAUAAUAAUCCAGAUUAUUUUGGAAGAUUGAUUAAUGGGAACAUUAGUCAUAUACUCAGUGCAUGACAUUUCCUAUUAGUUGUUAUAUCAUUUGAGAGUUAAAGGAUAUAAAUACUUAGGAACUUCCCAGCAGUUGGGUUGCCACCUGUCUGCUGAACACAUUAAAGGCGGAAAAGUGUGAGUUGUAUUCCAUUUAAGAAUGCCGUAGCUAUCUGUGGGACUCUGAAUAACAUUUCUGACACUGUCAGGGGAAAAUUUUCCAUAGCAGUCUCAACUCAGAUUCAGCAAUAGGGUCUUUUCUCCCUGACAUAGCUAGAAAUUUAAAGGAUGUUAACAAAGGCAGAGGUAGUAGGGCUGAUGCUUCUUGCAAUAGGACAAGUAAUUAGAGAGCUAAGGACUAUAUAUAUGGAACCAAAGUGAACACUUAGCAAACAGCUGUCAAUCUUUGUAUAGAUUCAUUGCUUCCUCGGUUAGUAUU